CCUUGCGCAUGCGCAGGCGGCGGCGGCGGCGGCGAGGCUACGGGUCGCGCGAGCGGCCGGCGCUAUGGGGCUGAGCCGUGUGCGGGCCGUUUUCUUUGACUUGGAUAACACUCUCAUCGACACUGCCGGGGCGAGCAGGAGAGGCAUGUUGGAGGUGAUAAAACUCUUACAAUCAAAAUACCAUUAUAAAGAAGAGGCUGAAAUCAUCUGUGAUAAAGUUCAAGUUAAACUCAGCAAGGAAUGUUUUCAUCCUUACAAUACAUGCAUUACUGAUUUAAGGACUUCACAUUGGGAAGAAGCAAUCCAGGAAACAAAAGGUGGUGCAGCCAAUAGAGAAUUGGCUGAAGAAUGUUAUUUUCUUUGGAAAUCUACACGUUUACAGCAUAUGACACUAGCAGAAGAUGUCAAAGCCAUGCUUACUGAACUUCGAAAGGAGGUCCGCCUACUUCUCUUAACGAAUGGGGACAGACAGACCCAGAGGGAGAAGAUUGAGGCUUGUGCCUGUCAGUCCUAUUUUGAUGCUGUUGUUGUAGGUGGAGAGCAGAGAGAGGAGAAACCAGCACCGUCCAUAUUUUAUUACUGCUGCAAUCUUCUUGGAGUACAACCUGGGGACUGUGUGAUGGUUGGUGACACAUUAGAAACCGACAUCCAAGGAGGCCUCAAUGCAGGAUUGAAAGCAACAGUCUGGAUCAAUAAAAAUGGAAUAGUGCCACUAAAGUCCUCCCCAGUUCCGCAUUACAUAGUUUCUUCUGUGCUGGAGUUACCUGCUCUCUUACAAAGUAUAGACUGCAAAGUCAGUAUGUCCGCUUAAAGCACAUAAAAGGGCAUGAUUAUGAAUGUUAGAGUCAAUUUGCAGAGUAUGAAAUAAGAAAAGUUAGGGCACUCCACUUACGAUAAUCCAGCUCUAAUUUUACUUAUGAUUUAAUGGCCAAUAUUUUGAAGAGCUUCCCAACCCUAUUGCUUCUAAGUUGUAACAACCAACCUUGAGUGGUACUUCUAUCUGAAAAUUCAGAUUGCAUUAAUACAGGAUAUGGCUAUAUCUUGCACUUAGGAAUAUUCCUGACCCAUGAAUUGUCCUUUGCACCAUGAUAAAGCAGAAUGGGAAUUCUGUGUUGAGGACUGCAGUGAUGAUACAAGUUCACUUCCUGUAAUGUGCCUUUUUCCGAACACCAGCUAAUAACCUGUACCACACUGUUGAGCUGAUAUGGAAAUGACAGUUGUCGGAAUGGUCACAAAUCUCCAUUUAUUUGACAUACGUAUUUAAUGAAGAAAAUCUUUCUGGAGUACAUUUACUCCAGCAGCGACUGUCAUUAUGAUGGAAAAUAUUCAUAAUAUUCAUGUUCUGUUCCUGUUUUUGUUUGUUUGUUUUUGUUUUUGAGACAAGGUCUCACUUUGUCACCCUGGGGUACAGUGGUAUGAACAUGGCUCACUG
Piliocolobus tephrosceles (Ugandan red Colobus) is the source of this 1432-nucleotide RNA transcript. It is a transcript of the gene named N-acetylneuraminic acid phosphatase, with no coding region annotated. The record is from RefSeq and is a predicted model, not a curated record. The transcript has 4 exons. Lineage: Eukaryota; Metazoa; Chordata; Mammalia; Primates; Cercopithecidae.